UCACCGUCUCCAUUGACAGAUCUUGGAUUCAUAGACACGCAAUUUCUAGAAUCAUAUUUACUCAGACAGUCAUUGGUUGUUGUUACAUGCUUUGUUUCAAAACUGCCACAGAUAAGAUCUGGAAUUGAAGAGCAAACAGGUACUUUGUCAUCAUCAUUCCCAUAACUGGUGUUUUCUCUACGAAUUCCAGGACUUAUUGUUUCAAAUGUCCUUGUUAUACAGCUCCCCUCAGACUCUGCAAGAUGUGGGCUGUCUGAAGCAAUAGCAUGAGUGUUGGGAAUAGAAAUGUCAAUAUUCCAAUCAUUUGAUUUGGGAGUUUCAUGCAGUUGAACAUGGUUAGAACGUGUCUUUUUUACGUUUAAAGGAACCCU
RNAcentral lists this long non-coding RNA (371 nucleotides) under Zostera marina. RNAcentral's name for it is "long non-coding RNA (ZMAR_LNC001729)". The record is from RNAcentral. Lineage: Eukaryota; Viridiplantae; Streptophyta; Magnoliopsida; Alismatales; Zosteraceae.